GGGAGAGACCCCCGAGCCCGGGGAGAGACCCCCGAAACGGGGAGAGACCCCCAAAACCGGGGAGAGAGCCCCGAAACCGGGGAGAGACCCCCAAACCCGGGGAGAGACCCCCGAGCCUGGGGAGAGACCGCCCAGAACCCGGGGAGAGACUCCCGAAACGGGGAGAGACCCCCGAGCCCGGGGAGAGACCCCCAAACCCGGGGAGAGACCCCCAAACCCGGGGAGAGACCCCCGAACCGGGGAGAGACCCCCGAGCCCAGGGAGAGACCCCCGAACUGGGGGGAGCCCCCGAACCCGGGGAGAGACCCCCGAACCGGGGAGAGACCCCCGAACCCGGGGAGAGAGCCCUGAGCCCGGGGAGAGACCCCCAAACCUGGGGAGAGACCCCCGAACCGGGGAGAGACCCCCGAACCCGGGGAGAGACCCCCAAACCUGGGAGAGACCGCCCAGAACCCGGGGAGAGACCCCCAAACCCGGGGAGAGACCCCCGAGCCCGGGGAGAGACCGCCCAGAACCCGGGGAGAGACUCCCGAAACGGGGAGAGACCCCCAAACCGGGGAGAGACCCCCGAACCGGGGAGAGACCCCCAAACACAGGGAGAGACCCCCGAACCCGGGGGGCGCUGCUGGAGCUCGCCCCCUCCCCUCUUUUCCAGACUGGGUGUGGCCGGAGGCGCUGCUGGAACCGAAAGCCGGGAGGUCCCGAGGGGGCCGCGACCCCCCGGGACGGACUCGGGACCCCCGGGAUGGGCCGAGGGACCCCCGGGAUGGACCGAGGGACCCCCGGGAUGGGCCGAGGAACCCCCUGGGAUUUAGCCGGGACCCCCCAGGAUGGAUCCAGGAGCCCCCAGGAUGGACGCGACCCCCCCAGAAUGGACAGGGACCCCCCAGGAUGGACACGGAGUCACCCGGGGGGGAACGGGAGCCACCGGGACAGCUCCGGGACCCCCCGGGAAAGCUCCGGGACCCCCCGGGACAGCUCCGGGACCCCUCGGGAUGGGCACGGGACCCCCCGGGACAGCCCCGGGACCCCCCGGGACACCUCCGGGACCCCCCGGGGAAGCUCCGGGACUCCCUGGGGAAGCUCCAAGACCCCCCAGAACAGCCCCGGGACCCCUCGGGAAAGCUCCGGGACCCCCUGGGACACCUCCGGGACCCCCCGGGACACCUCCGGGACCCCUCGGGAAAGCUCCGGGACCCCUCGGGAUGGGCACGGGACCCCUCGGGAUGGGCACGGGACCCCUCGGGACAGCCCCGGGACCCCUCGGGACACCUCCGGGACUCCCCGGGGAAGCUCCGGGACCUCUCGGGACAGCCCCGGGACCUCCCGGGAAAACUCCGGGACCCCCCGGAGAAGCUCCGGGACCCCUCGGCACGGUCACGACCCCUCCCGGACGCCCCCCGAGCCCCCCGGGAGGCGGAGCAGCGGCACCGAG
This is a long non-coding RNA of Parus major (Great Tit), 1435 nucleotides long. The record is from Ensembl. Lineage: Eukaryota; Metazoa; Chordata; Aves; Passeriformes; Paridae.